UAAAUCAGUAGAGGCGCGCUGCCUAAGAGUAACCGAGCAGAGGGUGAUACCUGUGAAGCCGGAGAAAGGAGUCAGCGCCGAAGUGACUGCAGCUAUCAACUCAGUCGCUGGGUCUGUGUCGAAUAGGCACAGAACUGCCAUAGUAUUUACCUAUGGAGCGCUACCUGAAGG
RNAcentral lists this non-coding RNA (171 nucleotides) under Photobacterium gaetbulicola Gung47. Its description in RNAcentral is "Photobacterium sp. Gung47 Lysine riboswitch aptamer". It matches the Rfam family "Lysine riboswitch aptamer". From Rfam's summary of the family: Riboswitches are metabolite binding domains within certain messenger RNAs that serve as precision sensors for their corresponding targets. Allosteric rearrangement of mRNA structure is mediated by ligand binding, and this results in modulation of gene expression. Lineage: Bacteria; Pseudomonadati; Pseudomonadota; Gammaproteobacteria; Vibrionales; Vibrionaceae. The record is from Rfam by way of RNAcentral. RNAcentral also lists the same sequence under 1 other name.